CUAACACAUGCAAGUCGAGCGGCAGCGAGGUUAGUAGCACUACUAAUUGUCGGCGAGCGGCGGACGGGUGAGGAACACGUAGGGAUCUGCCUUAGAGAGGGGGAUAACCAAGGGAAACUUUGGCUAAUACCGCAUAAACUCGGGAGAGAAAAGCUGCCUGCAAGGGUGGCGCUUUAAGAGGAGCCUGCGUGCGAUUAGCUAGUUGGUAGGGUAAAGGCCUACCAAGGCGAUGAUCGGUAACUGGUCUGAGAGGACGACCAGUCACACUGGGACUGAGACACGGCCCAGACUCCUACGGGAGGCAGCAGUGGGGAAUCUUGGACAAUGGGGGCAACCCUGAUCCAGCGAUGCCGCGUGGGUGAAGAAGGCCUUCGGGUUGUAAAGCCCUUUAGGUUGGGAAGAAGUGCAUAAGUUUAAGAGAUGUAUGCAUUGACGGUACCGACAGAAUAAGCACCGGCAAACUCUGUGCCAGCCGCCGCAGUAA
Molecule: ribosomal RNA, 484 nt
Filed under: uncultured bacterium
Lineage: Bacteria
Description: partial 16S ribosomal RNA
Rfam family: Bacterial small subunit ribosomal RNA
Source: RNAcentral